Molecule: long non-coding RNA, 2323 nt
Organism: Episyrphus balteatus (marmalade hoverfly)
Lineage: Eukaryota; Metazoa; Arthropoda; Insecta; Diptera; Syrphidae
Exons: 4
Source: RefSeq, a predicted model, not a curated record
AUUAGUGGUUUUUGAUUCGAGUCGGCUGCUGUUAAAAAGGAUUUCCAAACGUUCAAACUAGUUUCAUUAAAAAAAAAACUUCAAAGAGAACACAGCUAUCAACAAUCAUUGUAAGCAGUAUCAAUGGUGGUUGCCAACAAGCUGGCAAAGAACUGCGAACCCGUCGAUAUAAGCAGCGAUGAUGAUUCUCUUAAAACAACCCAAAUGUUUUAACCGCUGUUUGGUUAUUCGUAGCUCGACCCUUCAUUAACAUCUUUUGCGAUUGCGUUUUAAGGUGGGCAAUAAUCUUGAUGAAGGGCGUAGCUCCAACGUGAACUAGAUCAGCUUUUAAAUUUAACACUGUUGUUGACUAUGAGAAGCCACAAGCUUAUAUUUUGUAACAACUGAAUCCUUGAUUUUCGAAACUCGUUUUAUUAUGAAACAUGGGAAACAUGGGACCCUUUCGUGAAUAUUCCUCGGGACUUAUUUUUAUAGAAGAAAAAACCAAAAAAGUUCAAAACGUGUUUUAUUUUGCAGGAUUAUAUGGAUUUAAAAGUUAAUAAACGCGAGUUUCGCAAUCAUUGUUAUUUCAAUUCGAUAUCCAUAGUCACAUCGAACUCUGUCCACCUUUUAAGAUGUGAGGAUUGUACUGACUGAAACUCCCCAAAAGGAUGUUUUCACGUCUGUGAGAAUACAGGAAGCUUUUUUAUAAGAUUUACGAAAAGAGAAGGAACAUUUUUAUACGAAAACGUUGGAAAGGAAAACUGGGGUUAUAUUCUGUAUCGCGUAAAGGAACAAACAUUUUUGUAUGUGCCAACGGUUUGCUGAAUACAACUUGAAAAACGAAUCUAUAGCACAUUUACUUUCAUAUUUCAAAAAAGAAUUAUCAUUUUCGUUUUUUAUAGAAUCUGGCCCUGAUUUAAAAGCUCUUAAGUACUAUCAAAAUAAAGCCUUGUUAUUAAUGAAGACGAACGAUGGAAUUGAUAAUAAGUGAUAUUUUGAAUAUUUUAUUUUAUGUGUCAAAAUAUAUUUUAUGCUCUAUAUUUUUGACGACAGGCAAUAGAAACUUUUAAAUGUAUGAAUGAUGUGAAACACAGUAUACAUGUGAAACAUAUGGAAUCCGACCAUUAGACCAACACUAUAUCGGAUAAUUCGAAGAAAAAGGAAGACUUGUAAUGGAAACAUUAUAUUAAAAGUGGUCUUCAACGAUUUCAGAUGCCAAGUUUGAGGCAAUUGGUUAGAGAUCUAGUUGAGAAUUGUUGCAUCUUUGUUGUGCAAAAAAAAAGUAUACAACAAAAUCUAUGAGCAUAGCACUUAAUUUCUAGCUGCUCCAAGUAUACAAUUGAAUCUCGAUGCUAUCUUCUCAUAAAUUAUAUAAUUGAACCUGAUGAUUCGUUAACAAAAUUUAAAAAAAGAACUAAGUCCCAAGGUACUCAGACAGAAUUUGCAAGAUGUUGGUGGCAUGGAGAACAUAGAAAAUUAUUUUAAGGAAUUGUGUGAUACAUACAGCACCCAAUAUCUAUUUAAUGCUUGAACUGAUGCUACAUUAAGGUCUUCUAUUGCAUGGCCCUUCUGGAUGAAGAAAGAUUUUGCUGGCACAUGUAAGCAAUUUUGGAAUGAUUAUGCAUAGGCAGUUCUAUGUGCCGUGUGUACUCUUCAUUGACAUUGAAAUCGAUGCAAUCUCGCAUCCUACCGUUCUAAUGCUCAAAGUGACAUGGAACGUAGAUGUUGUCUCCAAUUGAUAAGGCAAAUCUGUGCUGGUUAUAUGAGCUACAACAAGGCAAACUAUUUCAAGACUGAAGAGUUAUGUGCGCGUGAACAAUUUGGUUUGGAUAACAAAACACAACGUGAGAAAACGGGAAUACUUGAGAAAAAAAUUGAAAAACUAAACAAACAAAUUUCAUCGGAAGAAACACACUCUUUACAACUACUGUUCAACAGGAAAUAGCUUCAGCUGUCUAAUCCAAUUUUAAAUUCGUUUGUAUUUAAUCCAGUUCCAGAUAGUGUGGAGCAAGUUGUAAUUGAAACCAAAAAUAAACUAUCAUCAUUAUUGUUUUUUCACCUAACCGAAUAUGAUUAUUCGAAAUAAUAUCAUUUUUAAUUCAAAUUGAAAUUUUACUUGUGCGAAACUGACAAUAGGUUUUAAGAUUCUUGAUGUACAAACAUGUUGCGGCUGACAUAUUUUUCGGGUGAAACUUUCAAUAAGGGUGUAUGUUUAAUCGAAAGAUUGUGCGACCAUUUAUAAUUUUACCACAUUUAAAGUAGGAGCUUUCCAAAUGAAAUCUUAUAAAACCAAUAUAUCCAUUGUUGAUUAUUAAAAAACAAAAUUCCUUUUAUUAUUUAA